This 941-nucleotide long non-coding RNA is filed under the name Sparus aurata (gilthead seabream). RNAcentral's name for it is "lncRNA (ENSSAUG00010011183.1)". The record is from RNAcentral. Lineage: Eukaryota; Metazoa; Chordata; Actinopteri; Spariformes; Sparidae.
GUUUACUUAUUUUUUGAAUAACUUCUUUGAUUGACAGAUUGGUCCUUUAACUGCUCCGCCUCGCCUCAUCUCCACAGCUGAUUAAUCAAUAACGUGUCCGUGAGGCAUAUCGGAGGAGAACAAAAACUCAACAAGUCCGGGCUUGUCUUCAAGUCACCUGUGGCGUCUGAACCUGAGGCCCCCUCGUUAACUUCCACGAGGAGGACGGAAGUGAAACAGGCUCCUUAACGCAGGCGGACAGGUGUGAAAUCACGAGACAUUAAAUAAGCUGCGCGACAGUGCGGGCUGCUGCACACCCAGGCUGGUUGUAUAACGGGGAUUCACCUCAGCUGAACUUGACGCAUCUGGUUCAUCGGCGGCGCAGGACGCGCGGCGCAGUCUGCAGCCUGUUUGUCCCCACUGAACCGAGCUGGACGUCCGCGGAGAGAGACACGGACACGGACAAUAGGGGGACGAGACACCGUCUAGAAAAUAUAAAGCCCGCGGACUUCGGAGUUUGGACAUCCCGAAGGAAGAGACCAUCCAACUUGAACUUGAGACCUGUCGGGCAAGUGAGGACACAAGCUGACGCCGAACCACGAGGCCUAAGAUACUGCAAUGCAGGUGAGCACAUGGUCGGGCUUACACGCACAAACAUCGACUUGGUAUGUGUAGAAAGGAAUAUGGGAAAUAUGGUCACACUCUUACUGAGUAGAAUAGCAUGAAUUUAAGGAUUCAGACCCGAAAUGUGAAAGGAUCAGAGCUACUGUAUUAUUGUAAUAUUGCAAUUUUAUGCCUCUGAAAUAUUGUAAAGUUUUCACAUCUCUUUUUUUCUUUGUUUAAAACAAAUAUUUUAAGUAAACAGCGUCAGUGUAACCCAUUUGGCUUCAUAUGUUUCUCCGUUAGUUAGACAUGUCUUUAGAAAUGCAUUGUUAAUCGAGAAAGGAUUAAUCUGGUUUUAU